Molecule: unclassified non-coding RNA, 5509 nt
Filed under: Acanthaster planci (crown-of-thorns starfish)
Lineage: Eukaryota; Metazoa; Echinodermata; Asteroidea; Valvatida; Acanthasteridae
Description: regulating synaptic membrane exocytosis protein 2- like, transcript variant X6
Source: RNAcentral
UACAUGGUACGUUGUCAAUUCACGCAUGCUGGGCUGCGGAUAGAUCGUGCAGCCCAUUUUCGUGGGCCGCAAACCCUCGAUAAAAGGAUGUCUUUCCUCCAAAACUUCACGCUUAGACGGCCCAGCUAACGCCAUAAUGGACUGAAACGGAAUCUUACAUUGCUCACUGGAAGGGACUCGUUCCGCCGAGGAACUAGCACAAAAUAUUUGGGAAUUUUUUCUACAUUGACGGUGUGAGGAGACUGAGUUAGGGGGGGACAUAAUCAUGAUGGCGACUCCACAGAGCAAGGCACCCGCGACCAAGACCGUGCAGCCGCUGGCCACGAAACCGGGUGCUGCGGCCCCAGCCCCGCCUGGGCCGGCCGCCCAACCACCCGCCGGUCCGGUUGUCCCAGAACUGGACCUAUCGCACCUCUCAGAGGAGGAACGACGGCAAAUUCAGGCGGUGCUGGAAAGGCAAAAACAGGAGGAGGAAAAAGAGGCCAAACUCAUAAGGGCCUUGAAGGAGGACCUUGACCGGGUCCAGCAGACCACGCAGGCCGUGGCCUCGGAGUCCAAGGCCAAGGGCAGCCUCCCCCAGAAUGGCGCCGUCUGCCAGAUCUGCCACAAGACCAAGUUUGCCGACGGGGUGGGCCACUCCUGUAGCUACUGCAACCUGAAGUCCUGUGCCCGAUGUGGUGGUCGGGUUACGCUCCGCUCCAACAAGCCACCUGAAAAAGCCCCGUCAUCUGUUCGACCAAAGGUUUUAUGGGUGUGCAAACUGUGUCGCAAAAAGCAGGAAUUUCUGACCAAAACUGGACAGUGGUACCACGGUCGGCAAGGUAAACCUCAGAGCCUGGACCUCAGUGCAGUUAAGGCUAUCGAUGGGGGCAGCAAGCCCCAAACUCCUCAGCCUGCCAAGGAUGGGCCCCAGCAACAACAGCAACAAAUCAUCAAGCCUCAAAUGGAACAAAUACUCCACAGCGCGAAGCCCAGCAACAACAAUAAUAAGGAGAACUUGGGGGCUGGCCAGCCGCCCUCACGGCCGCGUUCCACUACACCACACAGUCAACUCACCCGCCAGCUGUCCAAGAACGAGGACGAGACGUCGUCGCCUCUUCCCCAAACCAACUCCAAGCCCGUGCACCGAACUCACAGCCGGGAGUUGGCUGGGAAACGGCCGGGUGCCCAUGACGAGCGGACGCACAAUGCGCGGGCCGAUCCCAGCUAUGAUCCAUCCAGCGAUGUGCAUUACCAGGACCGCCGGCGGGAGUCGCGGUACUCCAUGCGGGACAGGACACCAGACCGGGACCGUUCCACGAGUAGUGAGCGCACCACCAUGACAGAGCGUCAUGGACGGGACCCAGCCAAAUACUCUGGGCGUGAGCGUGAGCAUUUCAUGGAGCAGGAUCCACGGCGAUUUAAAAACCAGGACCACAUACGGGAUCAUGGGCGGUACCCAGAUCAUGAACGAGAAAGAGAUCGAGAGAGGUUCAAUCAUGGCUAUGAGAGUCCUGACCGACAUGGUUAUCCUGAGGAGAGGUAUUACGCAGGGGAUCAUGACCGAGGGCGCCAUUACACCAAGGAGCCCUUGGUGCGUCAGGUGAGUGGCAGAACUUUGGAUCGUCAGCGCAGGAUGUAUGCAGAUGACCCACCCUCGCCGCAUUACCCACACGAUCGUUACCCAGAGCACACCAGUUCAGAUCGUGAACGAAGAGACAUGGAUCAAAGGGAAAUAGAUCGUAGGGAAACAGAGCACAGGGAAUUGUCGGACCGGCGUGAGAUGGACCGCCGGGACAUGCCUGAACGCCGGGAAGGCGUUGGUGCUCAAAUGGACAUGAGGGAGUUUGAGCGUCACCCCAGUGAACGCCGGACCCGUGCCCGACGCGAGCGGGACCGCAGCCCUGGGGAGUCCAAGCGGAGCUCACCCCGGAAGGACGAGGAACGCUUCGGCGAGGAGUACCGCAGGGGGGCAGGGCCACCAUACCCACAGGAAGGUGUGUCACAGAAGCGGCCCAACAGCUCGCCCCGUCACAGCAUCACCGUGGAAGAUGUUGACGCCCAGCGGGAGCGGCUCCUUCUGGCCGAAUCCUAUGGUGCUCCCGGCCGCGCCCCUGAGCUGGGCCCCAAGCAGCACCUGGACCCCAGCUCGGCUGCGACCAAGACAAGCAAACAGGAGUCCCUGUCCAGGAACAGUAAAGCUGCUGACUCCAUGAUCAGGGCUGACUCGCUCAGCUCAGACCAAAGUGAGUGUGUCCGGCCGCCUCCCCCGAAGCCACACAAGACCAAGGGGUCUCGUAAGAGAAGACAGUUCUCGUUAAGUAGCUCCGAGGAGGAAAUCCGGUCAACACCAGAGUACACUAGCUGUGAGGAAGGAGAGAUUGAAAGUGAAAGUGUCAGUGAGCGAGGUUCGGGUGAACUUGAGAUUGGGACCGGUGGGGGUAACAACAACAGCAGCAGCAAGGAUAAGGGCAUGCAUGGCGGGCGCGGGGAACCAGUCGCUGCCGACGACCACCACCAUUCGGAAUCAGAGCUGGCCCUCUCGGCCGCCAAAAAGAAAAUUGUCCGGUUCGGCCAGGGGGAAGGCCGGUCCAUGGAGGAAGACCCCGAGUGGUCCGAGCCGCAAAUUAAAGACUCGGGGGUGGAUACCGGUAGCAGUACAACCUUAAAUGAGGAGCAUAGUCUGGCUUCCAAGCAACCAGUCACGUGGACCCCAGACCUGGACAACAACAGGUUGAUUGGCCACAUGAUCCUAAAGAAGAGCCAGGGUGACAGCUCGACGCCGCAGGACUCUAGUGCCAUCCUGGGGCUGAAGGUCAAAGGCGGCAAGGUCAAGGAGGCGGGCAAGCUGGGUGCCUUCAUCUCCCGGGUCAAGCGGGGGAGCAUCGCCGACACCGUCGGUCAUCUGCGAGCAGGGGAUGAAGUUUUGUCCUGGAACGGACACAACCUCCAGGGCAAAGAUGUCAAUGAAGUGUACACCGUCAUCUUUGAGUCCAAGAGUGAGCCGCAGGUGGAGCUGAAAGUGGCCCGGCCGAUGGGCAGUGAAAUGGACCAGACGACGCGGGAGAAGCUUGCCCAGCAGUUCAGGUCUCAGCGACCAGACUCCAUCACCAAGAGAUCCAGUCAAAGUGUUUGUUCUUGCGCCUGUGCAGGCUCCAGUGGCUAUGAGUCCACCACCAAGCACAAGGAGGAGGAGGAGAUACCACCACAGGUCCGGCACAAACGGCCGUCGGUCACCAUCACGUCCCCAGGAAGCCCUGGGAUGACAAGGCGGAAUGGCUCACCUCUGGUGCAAGGAGACCUCCAGAUGAAGCUGUGGUACGACAAUACCAACUACCAGAUUGGGGUGACGAUUCUCAGUGUCAAGGGCCUGCCACCACGGGAGAAGACGGGUGACCUGCGCAACCCCUAUGUCAAAAUGUAUCUGCUUCCAGAGAGGAGUGAUGAGAGUAAACGUCGCACAAAGACUCUCCACAAAACUCUCAAUCCCAAAUGGAACCAGACCUUCCUGUACGGUCCCUUGAAGCGGUCAGAGUUCAAAGGUAACACCCUGGAGGUCACCGUCUGGGACUUUGAACACUAUGGUGCUAAUGAGUUCUUGGGGGAGGUUAUGUUGAACCUGGAGGCCGUACCCCUGGAUGACGAACCCCACUUGUACCCGCUACGCAGCCACAACAAGCAGGUGCCCCUCCCGCUGGUGUCGCCAGUACCCGCCCGGCACCAGAUGAAGCACCACUCCCACCGCAACAGCGACACGGGGAGCCGGGAGCAGCUCUCGUCCCCAGCAUCAGGCGGGCGGAUCACUGACAGCGAGUUCUCUGAUUGGGAUGAUGGUAUCGGAGUCGUUACUGGGGCGUCGGUGGUAGGAGUGGGUGAUGGGGCCUCUUCGCUCGGUGAGCGUCGUGCGACGCCACCCAUGAACGAAGGUUCAUCAGUUGUUGGGAUUGGGGAUGGGGCCAGCGUCUCCUCCCUGGGCAGCAGCUGUAGUCCACCCCCAGCCAGUGAGGAUGACAGGCCACCCAACGAGCAGGAAUACCCCAGGUCACCCACCGCCCAGCGGCGGUCGGGAAUCGUGAUACCACCUCAACAAGAUGAGCUUUCUUCUCACACGCGAGAGCGCCGUGGUUCUGCUAGCACCCUUGCUGUCCCAGAGAGGGCUCCCCGGAGCCGGCCCCGCAGCCCUUCCCCGACCCGACGGGAACGCAUGAGCACGGAGCCUGUAGAUGUCUACCGCAAACACCAGGAGGCAACGUCCCGUUUUGCCCACUACCAGGAUGACACGGAUGGGCAAAGCCGACAGUCACCAACUGCAAUGAGAUCACAGAGAGAGCGGGACCGGGGAGGCUGGGAGUACGAGCGGAGUAGGGACUUGCGAGACCGGGACCUACGGGAUCAGGAUCUGCGGGAACAUGAGCUGAGGGAGCUUGAUUUGAGGGAGCGUGAUCUGAGGAGCCGUGAGUCAAGGGAACGUGAACUGAGAGACCUCCCGCCACAUGAGCUGGACCUGCCGAGCCGCGGCCUGAGUCCUCGUGAACCACACGACCAGGAGCUCCUCGACCGGGAAGGGCGUGAUCCUCGUGACCACCGGACCCACCGUGCCCUGUCCCCACCCACCCGGUAUGACUACGAGCGGAUGAGCGGGCGGCGGUCACGCUCGCCAAGUCGGCGGGCCGACCUGCAGCACGGCGACCCCCAUCGCCGGACCCAGUCUGAGAACCGGGGCGAGAUGGACUAUGAGAGGCAGUACCGGUCACACGCCCGCACGAUAACGUCCAACAUUGACGCUUCCAGCCUACCAAACUCACCAGUCCACGGGGGUAGAGGGAGUCCUGUAUCAACGCCUUCCACACCACGCAAACACAGACAGCUGCCGCAGGUCCCUGCACAUCUCAAAUCAGAUAAAGGGACAGCCGAAAUUGAGGAAAGAGCCCGCCAGAUGAAGCUCAAGAUGAAGAUCAAUCAGUACAAGCAGGCAGCAGCCACUGCCAACACCCUUUCUCCCCAUGGCGCUGUUGCCUCAACCUCUGCAGGGGGCACUCCCAUCCUGGAUGCCCCGCCACACCCUCGCCGCAAGCAGAGCCCGGACAACAUCUCCAUCAAGUCUUCAGACAGCAACGUGUCCAGCACCAGCGACGUGUCAGCCAUCACCCAGGCCAGUACGGCCAGCGCCUUCUCCACGCAAUCUGAGCGCCGGCCCACCAGAAAACUCAGAGUGACCCCAUCGUCUGUCACCGGGGCCGUUACCAGACUGUCCCAGUCCGUGCACCAGACCGGCCCACGUCACGCCAUGGAUUCGAGCGAACCUGCGUCACCGCUCGGAAUGGCAACGAACGAUUUGCCCCAAUUGAAAGUAUCUCAUGAUGCUGACAAAUGGUUUCGUCUCAGGAAGUAGAAACCAGGAGAGCUGAAAAGGCAAAUGUGAAUGAACGGUGAGACGUGAAGAGAUUGCCUUUACCGCGAAAAUGCAAGAGUCUGCUCCCGUGAAGAAACCACUGAAUCGAAGCAACAGUAGUGCUGAUAUGUACACGUA